Molecule: ribosomal RNA, 439 nt
Filed under: uncultured bacterium
Lineage: Bacteria
Description: partial 16S ribosomal RNA
Rfam family: Bacterial small subunit ribosomal RNA
Source: RNAcentral
CCUACGGGAGGCAGCAGUGAGGAAUAUUGGGCAAUGGAGGCAACUCUGACCCAGCCAUGCCGCGUGAGUGAAGAAGGUUUUCGGAUUGUAAAGCUCUUUCGGAUGUGACGAUGAUGACGGUAGCAUCUAAAGAAGCCCCGGCUAACUCCGUGCCAGCAGCCGCGGUAAUACGGAGGAUGCGAGCGUUAUCCGGAUUUAUUGGGUUUAAAGGGUGCGCAGGCGGUCUGUUAAGUCAGCGGUCAAAGCCCGGGGCUCAACCCCGGCCCGCCGUUGAAACUGGCAGCCUCGAGUUGGAGAGAAGUAUGCGGAAUGCGCGGUGUAGCGGUGAAAUGCAUAGAUAUCGCGCAGAACUCCGAUUGCGAAGGCAGCAUGCCGGCUCCACACUGACGCUGAGGCACGAAAGCGUGGGUAUCGAACAGGAUUAGAUACCCCUGUAGUC